This 315-nucleotide ribosomal RNA is filed under the name uncultured bacterium. RNAcentral's name for it is "bacterial SSU rRNA". It matches the Rfam family "Bacterial small subunit ribosomal RNA", at positions 30 to 342 of the family's 1533-position model. The record is from RNAcentral.
AUUGAACGCUGGCGGCAUGCUUUACACAUGCAAGUCGAACGGCAGCACGGGUGCUUGCACCUGGUGGCGAGUGGCGGACGGGUGAGUAAUACAUCGGGAACGUAUCCAGAAGAGGGGGNUAACGCAUCGAAAGAUGUGCUAAUACCGCAUAUUCUCUGAGGAGGAAAGCAGGGGAUCGAAAGACCUUGCGCUUUGGGAGCGGCCGAUGUCUGAUUAGCUAGUUGGUGGGGUAAAGGCCUACCAAGGCGACGAUCAGUAGUUGGUCUGAGAGGACGACCAGCCACACUGGGACUGAGACACGGCCCAGACUCCUAC